RNAcentral lists this ribosomal RNA (482 nucleotides) under uncultured bacterium. RNAcentral's name for it is "partial 16S ribosomal RNA". It matches the Rfam family "Bacterial small subunit ribosomal RNA", at positions 30 to 507 of the family's 1533-position model. The record is from RNAcentral.
AUUGAACGCUGGCGGCAUGCUUUACACAUGCAAGUCGAACGGUAACAGGCCGCAAGGUGCUGACGAGUGGCGAACGGGUGCGUAAUGCAUCGGAACGUGCCCAGUCGUGGGGGAUAACUACUCGAAAGAGUAGCUAAUACCUCAUACGAUCUAUGGAUGAAAGCGGGGGACCGUAAGGCCUCGCGCGAUUGGAGCGGCCGAUGUCAGAUUAGGUAGUUGGUGGGGUAAAGGCUCACCAAGCCAACGAUCUGUAGCUGGUCUGAGAGGACGACCAGCCACACUGGGACUGAGACACGGCCCAGACUCCUACGGGAGGCAGCAGUGGGGAAUUUUGGACAAUGGGCGCAAGCCUGAUCCAGCAAUGCCGCGUGCAGGAAGAAGGCCUUCGGGUUGUAAACUGCUUUUGUACGGAACGAAACGGCUCUGGUUAAUACCCGGGGCUAAUGACGGUACCGUAAGAAUAAGCACCGGCUAACUACGUG